Long non-coding RNA from Phascolarctos cinereus (koala), 581 nucleotides. RefSeq lists it as uncharacterized. The record is from RefSeq and is a predicted model, not a curated record. NCBI's taxonomy places the organism in Eukaryota, Metazoa, Chordata, Mammalia, Diprotodontia, Phascolarctidae.
UGUGACCGAAGGAGUUUAGCCUAUUUUAAUUUUGGCUCCUGCCUACUGCCAAGUCGUGUAGGUCUAAUAUGUUACAAUGCUUCAAGAGCCAGUGAAUAUGACAAAUCCAGAGCAGCAUGGAUAGACUUAAAUGAACCGAUGCAGAUAAAGUAAGUAAAAUCAAGAAAACAAUAUAGUACAGCAACGUAGAUGGAAAGAAUAGGAACAAAUUAACUCAAAGUGAAUAUUUCAGAAUUAGAGGGAAAAAAACUGAGCAUGGCCCCAAAGAACUAUGAGAAGAUAACUCCCCACUCAUUUGCAGAGACUAGAGGUCCACAGGAAGCUAAGGGCUUUUCAGGUGGAUGUUUGCAACCUGAAGAAGUGAUGGGGUCUCACAGAUAUGGCUUAUUCAUGAUUAAGGAGAUGAAUCAUAAUGGUAGAACAUGAAGAAAACCCACACUGUGUUCUCAUAGGAUGAAAACAACUUGAAGACCUUGACAAAAACUACAUAAAUUGGAAUAAGGAAAAGUUGGAUUUAUUUCUGCACUGCUGACAGAGGAUAUAGCCACCAUAACCCGAUGAGAAGAUGAAGAAAGCACUUC